GUGGGGAAUUUUGGACAAUGGGCGCAAGCCUGAUCCAGCAAUGCCGCGUGCAGGAAGAAGGCCUUCGGGUUGUAAACUGCUUUUGUACGGAACGAAACGGUCCUGGUUAAUACCUGGGGCUAAUGACGGUACCGUAAGAAUAAGCACCGGCUAACUACGUGCCAGCAGCCGCGGUAAUACGUAGGGUGCAAGCGUUAAUCGGAAUUACUGGGCGUAAAGCGUGCGCAGGCGGUUUUGUAAGACAGGCGUGAAAUCCCCGGGCUCAACCUGGGAAUUGCGCUUGUGACUGCAAGGCUGGAGUGCGGCAGAGGGGGAUGGAAUUCCGCGUGUAGCAGUGAAAUGCGUAGAUAUGCGGAGGAACACCGAUGGCGAAGGCAAUCCCCUGGGCCUGCACUGACGCUCAUGCACGAAAGCGUGGGGAGCAAACAGGAUUAGAAACCCGGGUAGUCC
This 450-nucleotide ribosomal RNA is filed under the name uncultured bacterium. RNAcentral's name for it is "bacterial SSU rRNA". It matches the Rfam family "Bacterial small subunit ribosomal RNA", at positions 354 to 796 of the family's 1533-position model. The record is from RNAcentral.